This is a long non-coding RNA of Zea mays, 1825 nucleotides long. RefSeq lists it as uncharacterized. Lineage: Eukaryota; Viridiplantae; Streptophyta; Magnoliopsida; Poales; Poaceae. The record is from RefSeq and is a predicted model, not a curated record. The transcript has 2 exons.
CUUUUUCCGCCACUGCACUUCACCACUUUAGAUGGUGAUAUUUGCAAAAUAUCGUUUUUAGGAGGUUGAAUUGGUGAAGAUAUAACCUCACCAUUCUUAGAAUGUAGUGUCUACAUUCUACUACUAGACUUUGUUGUAUGUAUGCAGCUGGCAACCAAACCGUAGCUGUUGUAUCUGUUCCUUGAAUCUUUUGCAUUUGCUACUCGUUAACGUAACCAAACCAAACAUGUGCUCUGUGUGGCCUGGCAUGGCUAUCAAGAUGCAGCCAGCACUGCAUCCAUGGACGCGACGCGAGCUAGGCAGGAUCCAAUACUUAGAUCUUGCAGCUCCAGGCUCCAGCUCACAGAGACUGGCAGUGGGCAGUGGGACCACCGCGUGCCGUUGCCGGAGGAAGGAACACCAAGCCAAAGGCGAUGGGCCUGCACUGUUUGUCGUCCUUCCUACAACUGAUGAGAGUCACCAACCAAACCAAGGAGAAGGAGAUGCCGAGCGAGCGUGGGACUGGAAUUCGUGCUUGCCAAGCAAGCAACAGGCCUGGGCUGGCCAGAGCGUGCUUGAGUUGAGCUCCACGAUCUGGGCCUGCAUCUCCACGACCGUCUCCUGAGCUGCUGCCUCACUCAGCUUCGCGGGAGAGCCCGGGCAGUUCGAGUGCUGCUGGAACGCUGCUGCUCCGUGAGGAAGGGUCUUCUUCGAGCCGGUCGGGCACUCGGGCGACGGUGACCACAUGAUACCACUGUUCUCUUUGCUCGGUUCUGGUGAUGGUGGUAUCUUCACGAGAAGAUUAGAUGAUGCUUCAGUUGAUUUAGGUAUGGGACUCGAAGGUGCUUGCUUCAUCUCCACUCCACCAUCUGCAUGCCGAAGCCAUCCCUUCACCCCAGUGGCGAAUCUGCACUUCUGCAGUGACUCUACUUCAAGUUGAUUUAGAUAUAGGACUUGAAGGUUCUGAUGAGCAGGGGUAUAGGCAACAGAAAAUCACCUGACAAUGGCAGCUAGUUUGUUUGGUCACUAAAACUGUAGAGGUUGGAGUGCAGCUCACAUACCCCAGGCCUCCUUUUGGCUGCAAUUUCGCGCAGUCAGCACUCCACAGCGAAGCAGUUUAAGGAACAUGGAAAGAUGAUACGGCAACGACUGCUAUGCAAGCAGUCCUUCUAUGCAAGCGUGCAAUCAAAUCAUCUGAUCCAUUAGAUUAUGAUCCAACCACAGACACAACUAUAGUUUGUUAGAGGUUUUUUUAUAAAGAUUAUUAAGCUGAUGGUGAAAGGGUUAAAUAUGACCAACGGUUCGAUUACGAUCUAAUGAAUCAGAUUAUUUGUUUGCACACCUGUACAGAACGACUGCUUGCAUAGCAGUCGUUGCCAGAUGAUACGGGUUACACUCCAAAUGGAUAAAUAAACCCAGACCUUUGGCACAAGGGUCUUGCUGCUUGGUCACAAACAGCUGCUUCAAUGUGCACCGAGUCUGACUGAAAGCGUGCUAAGCAAGAUGCCGGUCAGGCAGGCUCCAGUCGCCCGGAAGACGCCGCCUCCACCUGCGCGCCUCCCUGGUCCCUCCCCACGGCCGGAAGGUUCCCCUUUCCCGCGGCCGCUCGCCUCCCGCCGCGUCGACCGUACGCUUCGGAGGCUACGGACCUGCCGCAACGUCCGCAGUGGCCACUGGCCGCGCCGCCGCCUGGCGUGAAGUGUGCGAGGCGAGCGGAGUGAGGGUCGCGGGAUUCGGAUUUCAGAUCGGUCACGUGAGACGUGAGACGUGAGAGCGGAGUGAAGGCUGCCCGUUGCAGCCUGUAGAACUAGCCCUAAAAAGACUAGUUUGGGAUUUCAGUUUACAU